This 71-nucleotide transfer RNA is filed under the name Angiostrongylus costaricensis. It matches the Rfam family "tRNA". From Rfam's summary of the family: Transfer RNA (tRNA) molecules are approximately 80 nucleotides in length. Their secondary structure includes four short double-helical elements and three loops (D, anti-codon, and T loops). Further hydrogen bonds mediate the characteristic L-shaped molecular structure. tRNAs have two regions of fundamental functional importance: the anti-codon, which is responsible for specific mRNA codon recognition, and the 3' end, to which the tRNAs corresponding amino acid is attached (by aminoacyl-tRNA synthetases). tRNAs cope with the degeneracy of the genetic code in two manners: having more than one tRNA (with a specific anti-codon) for a particular amino acid; and 'wobble' base-pairing, i.e. permitting non-standard base-pairing at the 3rd anti-codon position. The record is from Rfam by way of RNAcentral. Lineage: Eukaryota; Metazoa; Nematoda; Chromadorea; Rhabditida; Metastrongylidae.
GUCCUGUGGUGUUGUGGUUAUCACGUCUGCUUCACAAGCAGAAGGUCCCCGAUUCGGUCCGGGCAAGGAUU